ACCGGUGGGAACACACGUCUUCUACUUCCCUCAAGGACACAGUGAGCAGGUCGCAGCGUCUUUGAAGAAAGAUGUGGAUGGAUAGAUUCCUAACUAUCCCAAUCUUCCAUCCAAGUUGUUGUGCCUCCUUCACAGUGUUACUUUCCGUGCUGAUCCAGAAACUGAU
Molecule: non-coding RNA, 166 nt
Organism: Arachis ipaensis
Lineage: Eukaryota; Viridiplantae; Streptophyta; Magnoliopsida; Fabales; Fabaceae
Source: RefSeq, a predicted model, not a curated record